Rhagoletis pomonella (apple maggot) is the source of this 319-nucleotide long non-coding RNA. RefSeq lists it as uncharacterized. NCBI's taxonomy places the organism in Eukaryota, Metazoa, Arthropoda, Insecta, Diptera, Tephritidae. The record is from RefSeq and is a predicted model, not a curated record. The transcript has 3 exons.
GGUGAGUUGUCCCCAAACCACCAAAAUCCACAAUUCUCCACAUUGCAAACCCCCAAAAAGCAAAAUGGUGCUGCCUUGCGUACAAACAGUCUCGGCUCCGGCACACGCACACCCCCGCUCGAGCGUAAAAGUAAGUUUAGUGCUUUGGGGCGAUUCUUUAAACCAUGGAAAUGGCGACGGAAAAAGAAGAGUGAAAAAUUCGAAGCAGCUUCAAAGUCACUUGAACGCAAAAUAUCAGUACGUGCCAAUCGUGAGGAGCUUGUACAAAAGGGUAUACUGCUGCCAGAGAGUCCACUGGGGAAUAUACAAGAACCAGGUG